AGCGAACGCUGGCGGCAGGCUUAACACAUGCAAGUCGAGCGCCCCGCAAGGGGAGCGGCAGACGGGAGCGUAACACGUGGGAACAUACCUUUUGGUUCGGAACAACUGAGGGAAACUUCAGCUAAUACCGGAUAAGCCCUUACGGGGAAAGAUUUAUCGCCGAAAGAUUGGCCCGCGUCUGAUUAGCUAGUUGGUGAGGUAACGGCUCACCAAGGCGACGAUCAGUAGCUGGUCUGAGAGGAUGAUCAGCCUCACUGGGACUGAGACACGGCCCAGACUCCUACGGGAAGCAGCAGUGGGGAAUAUUGGACAAUGGGGGCAACCCUGAUCCAGCCAUGCCGCGUGAGUGAUGAAGGCCUUAGGGUUGUAAAGCUCUUUUGCCCGGGAAGAUAAUGACGGUACCGGGAGAAUAAGCCCCGGCUAACUUCGUG
RNAcentral lists this ribosomal RNA (431 nucleotides) under uncultured bacterium. Its description in RNAcentral is "partial 16S ribosomal RNA". It matches the Rfam family "Bacterial small subunit ribosomal RNA", at positions 29 to 507 of the family's 1533-position model. The record is from RNAcentral.